CGCGUAGGCGGGAUCGUGGGUCGGCCGUGAAAUCCACCGGCUCAACCGGUGAACUGCGGUCGAAACUACGAUUCUUGAGUUCGGUAGAGGAAUGCGGAAUUCCUGGUGUAGCGGUGGAAUGCGUAGAUAUCAGGAAGAACACCGGUAGCGAAGGCGGCAUUCUGGGCCGUAUCUGACGCUGAGGCGCGAAGGCCGGGGGAGCGAACA
Molecule: ribosomal RNA, 207 nt
Filed under: uncultured bacterium
Lineage: Bacteria
Description: partial 16S ribosomal RNA
Rfam family: Bacterial small subunit ribosomal RNA
Source: RNAcentral